GCUGGCGGCGUGCCUAACACAUGCAAGUCGAACGCGGUUAGUAGCAAUACUAACUGAGUGGCAAACGGGUGAGUAACACGUGGGUGACCUACCUUCGAGUGGGGGAUAACGUCCCGAAAGGGACGCUAAUACCGCAUAACAUCCUGUCCUUGAACGGAUGGAGAUCAAAGCCGGGGAUCGCAAGACCUGGCGCUUGAUGAGGGGCCCGCGUCUGAUUAGCUAGUUGGUGAGGUAACGGCCCACCAAGGCAACGAUCAGUAUCCGGCCUGAGAGGGCGGACGGACACACUGGGACUGAGACACGGCCCAGACUCCUACGGGAGGCAGCAGUGGGGAAUUGUUCACAAUGGGCGCAAGCCUGAUGACGCAACGCCGCGUGGAGGAUGAAGGUCUUCGGAUUGUAAACUCCUGUUGCUCGGGACGAAAAGCCUCGACCUAAUACGUCGAGGUCUGACGGUACCGAGUGAGGAAGCCCCGGCUAACUCUGUGCCAGCAGCCGCGGUAAUACAGAGGGGGCAAGCGUUGUUCGGAAUUACUGGGCGUAAAGGG
RNAcentral lists this ribosomal RNA (548 nucleotides) under uncultured soil bacterium. Its description in RNAcentral is "bacterial SSU rRNA". It matches the Rfam family "Bacterial small subunit ribosomal RNA", at positions 35 to 567 of the family's 1533-position model. The record is from RNAcentral.